GAUGAACGCUGGCGGCGUGCUUAACACAUGCAAGUCGAACGAUAACGCACAACUUGCUGGGUGGUUUAGGGGCGAACGGGUGAGUGACACAGGAGUAACUUGCCCUUUACUUUUUGAUAGGGCUGGGAGAAUGGGUAUAAUACCUAAUAGGGGCUUCCACCGCCUGGUGGGAGUUGGAGAGAUUUAUCGGUUUUGGGUGGGCGGGCGGCGUAGCCGCUUUUGGGGGAGGUAGCGGCUCACCAAGGCGACGGCGGGUAGCCGUCCUGAGAGUGUGACCGGCCACAAUGGGACUGAGACACGGACCAGAGUGCUAUGGGAGGCAGCAGUGGGGAAUAUUGCACAAUGGGCGCAAGCCUGAUGAAGAGACGCCGCGUGUGGGAUGACGGUCUUCGGGUUGUAAACCUCUUCCAGUAGAGACGAAGCGAUAGUGACGGUACCUGAAGAAGAAGCACCGGCUAACUACGUG
This 466-nucleotide ribosomal RNA is filed under the name uncultured bacterium. RNAcentral's name for it is "partial 16S ribosomal RNA". It matches the Rfam family "Bacterial small subunit ribosomal RNA", at positions 28 to 507 of the family's 1533-position model. The record is from RNAcentral.